UGCAACUCAGGUUGAAACGAGUUUUGAAC
Molecule: non-coding RNA, 29 nt
Filed under: Mus musculus (house mouse)
Lineage: Eukaryota; Metazoa; Chordata; Mammalia; Rodentia; Muridae
Source: RNAcentral